GGAGCUCGUCUCAGGGCUCCGCACACAGUAAGCACUCGCUAAACCCCACCGGUGGAUGGAUUGAUUGAUCGGUCGACCGUUCAACCGGAAAGGAUGAUUGAGCGGUAGCGUUGGCGGUUGUGACUUUGGAGACCGUGAAAUUACCCGUCUUGGAUUCGACGUCGACGUUCAAGGGAACGCGGUAAUCCGCUGAUGUUUUCCAGCGGGAGGCCUCCUCCGUCAAGGUGACAGCCUCCUCUUGGAUGAAUUAUUCUUUCUGUAUUUAGAACGCAUACAAUUGUUUUUAGUGAUUUAUCCUUCCGGACCAAUCUCGUUAGUAAACCUCAAUUAGGAAAUGAACCAGGUUCAUGUGCAGAAUUAAAGGAGGGUAAAUGUUGAAGAGUUAGGUGCUUGGAGAUGGCUAUUAAUCUUCUCCGGCCUCCUGGACGCCAUUUAGUGCCCUGCAGUAGAAAUGUCUUCUAUCUUUCAAUUCCUUCUGGUUUUCUGUGCGGUUCUCCUGUUGGAGUCACCCAAGCAUCUAGUCCGGCGCUCCGCACACGAAAUGAAAGAACGCAGCCUAAUCGGGGAUGCUAAAGGGAAUCCUGCAGCGGGAAAGCGAAGCUUAGAGGAAAGAUGAACGAAGAAAUGCCGAAGCGGGACUACGUUUUAUUUACAGAAGAGUUACCGAGAAGUUUACCGGUGACCGCGUGGAAAAGAAGCAGGCCCGUAACAGGGUUUCUGGCCUGCUCCUCUCCUGACCGACAAGCUUCCCUCAUGUCAAGAAGCAGCAUUAUUUUUCCAUGUCGUGGCUGGCCAUUCCCUUUUCAGAAGGCAGCCAAAAGAACACUUAGGAAAAUCCUGUUAAUGGGGCCCAACCUGAAGAAAACAAGUCGCCAGAGAACCAUAUAUGUCAAAGUUGAAGUGGCCAGCAGGCAAUUCACUGCGUCUCCCUAAGAGUUAGGCUAAUUUGCACCGUUUCAACGUUUUCCCUAUAAGGGCCUCAGAGUCCUUUCCGCCUUAUUAGCCAAUUUGUCCUCGGCUCACCCCUCAAGAGACGUUCGCUGAGAUGAACUCUGUUCGUCGGUGGAGAAACGAAGCGGGGCCGGGUUGAAUGAGUUAAGUGAAUAUCCGCGAUGCCCUACUCGCCGCCGCCCUUUCUUCGGCACCCUUCGGGACCCAACGGCUGAACGAACGGUCGCGUGUGCAGGAGUGUAUGUGAAUAAUAUCUAAAUAAAUAAGAACGUGCAGAAGGA
Ornithorhynchus anatinus (platypus) is the source of this 1232-nucleotide long non-coding RNA. RefSeq lists it as uncharacterized. NCBI's taxonomy places the organism in Eukaryota, Metazoa, Chordata, Mammalia, Monotremata, Ornithorhynchidae. The record is from RefSeq and is a predicted model, not a curated record. The transcript has 2 exons.